Molecule: long non-coding RNA, 618 nt
Organism: Hibiscus syriacus
Lineage: Eukaryota; Viridiplantae; Streptophyta; Magnoliopsida; Malvales; Malvaceae
Exons: 3
Source: RefSeq, a predicted model, not a curated record
UCCCAAGUCUAAACUCCGUCGACAACCUUAGACUCCAACUGCCACGCGGUGCCGGCCGCCGACCUGCUUUCUCAAGACAAAAGGAAUCCUCCAUUUCCACUUCCUCUCUCUAUAUAUAUAUAUAUCCAUCUUCUUCCUAUCUUCUAUAUUCAAAUCUUUUUUCUCCCUUUUAACUCCCUAGCAUUAAUAUCUCUUCCAAAUUACUCCACCCGUAGCCUCGUUUUCAGCUUAGAAAUUCAAGGAUGAAUCACAACCAGCCAUCAGCAGGUGCAUAUCCAACACAGUGAACAUCCACGGCGUCGGAACCUUAUGUGAUUGCACCACCAGUUGGUUAUCCGAUGAGUAAAGAUGAGCCCCAAAUACCGGUUGCAAUCGAAACCAAGUCAGAGGUGACGGAUUCUGGAAAGGAUGUUGCGCAGCCCUGUGUUGCUGUUGUGUCCUGGAUGCAUGCUUUUGAAGCGUUCUUGUAUUUCACGGUUUGUUUGAUGCUUCCAUUGUUUAUGGAUUAUAGUUUGAUGAUGGCAACAAUAGGGUUUGCUUUCCUUUCUCAUUUUGUAUAAACGGGACGGUUCAUCUUCAUUUUGAAUAAAACUAUUGCUACUCCGUUUGACUUUUUCU